UCAGGCCUAACACAUGCAAGUCGAGCGAGGACUUCGGUCCUAGCGGCGGACGGGUGAGUAACGCGUGGGAACGUGCCCCUUGGUACGGAAUAGCCCCGGGAAACUGGGAGUAAUACCGUAUGAGCUCUACGGAGGAAAGAUUUAUCGCCAAGGGAUCGGCCCGCGUUGGAUUAGGUAGUUGGUGGGGUAAUGGCCUACCAAGCCGACGAUCCAUAGCUGGUUUGAGAGGAUGAUCAGCCACACUGGGACUGAGACACGGCCCAGACUCCUACGGGAGGCAGCAGUGGGGAAUCUUAGAAGAUGGGCGCAAGCCUGAUCUAGCCAUGCCGCGUAUUUAAAGGAGGCCUUAGGGUUGUAAAGCUCUUUCAGCUGGGAAGA
This 378-nucleotide ribosomal RNA is filed under the name uncultured bacterium. RNAcentral's name for it is "bacterial SSU rRNA". It matches the Rfam family "Bacterial small subunit ribosomal RNA", at positions 42 to 448 of the family's 1533-position model. The record is from RNAcentral.